Molecule: long non-coding RNA, 1234 nt
Filed under: Homo sapiens (human)
Lineage: Eukaryota; Metazoa; Chordata; Mammalia; Primates; Hominidae
Description: HSALNT0217652
Source: RNAcentral
UGUUAUUACAAAAUCCAGCUGCGAGAACAGCGACUCCUGCAAUGGUAACUAGAAAUAAGAUCAGAUUGGGAGGCAUAAGGAAGGAAGACAAGACCGCCAUGCCAGCUUAUUGACAGGUACAGUCACUAUGUCUUCUUGUCUUCUCAGUCCAAAAUCAAAAUACAAGCAUUGACACAUGGUCAGACACUAAAACAGAAGGUUUGAAAUCAGGGCUGUUUCCAGAAACUCCAGGACAUAUGGAUGCUGCAAAUAUACGGAGGAGAGAGUGACUCUCAUGAACAUGUAGGGUAUCAAUGGUGCUGCCACUGAGAGAAAUGGAAGACCUGGGGAGGAAGGUUGGCUUGGACAGAAAGAUGUUUUUAGUCUGAUCCAUGUGGUUGAAACUGAUGUGGGCCACAGCAUGAUCUAGCAAGGCUGGAAGCUAUUCAGGAGCCACUGACCUAGAAGUGGAAACGACAAUAGGGAGGGGAGAGAGAAGGGCCAGGGUGUAGUCGUCAAGGUUUGUGUUUUAAGGAGCCAGCUCAUUUUAUUAAAUUGCAUACAUCAAUAAGUAAUAUCCAGGAAAGAAGAGAACUAGAAACCUCUCCCUGGUGUGGUGUACUAUUAAGCAUGCAAGUUUCUGCUGACUUUGCAUCCUCUCUGCCUUCACAUCAUGGGAAUUCGUGACCAGAAGCCUUCAGCCUGCACCCCUCCACCCAUCCCAGGGUUUCACCAUAAUUACUCGGGACUCUCAAACAUCUGUGCAUCAAUCAGCUGCCCAUCAUACUUGCUCACCCCUUCCAGUCUCUGGGAAAGCAACUUAUUAUCCAAUGUGGAAGGUCUUGUUCUUGAUAAGGUUGGUGUCAGGAGAGGCCUGGGGUCAUAGGACCAGACUGCAAACAACACAAUCCCAGAAUAAAUCCUAUUAAUUUGGCAUAAUUGAUGAAAAUGAAGAUUAGAUAUUUGACCAGAGAUGAGAAAUUCAUGGGCAUGAAUGCUGCAGCUCUGAUUACUUUGCAUGUGAAUGUGUGGAAAGUGCUAGCUUGUGUAAUGAUUUUUCAGAUGAAAUGAAAGCAGGACGAGGCUGUCAGCCCUGAAUACUUGUGACUUUUAGACUAAAGUCCUUGGCAUCAGCCAGCACUGCAGGAUGGAGCAGGUGAGGUUCAGCAACCCUGUGAAGGGAGGCUAGGGUAUUACCCGCACCCUUUAACAGCAGACUGAGUAUAUAAACUCUCACUAGACUGGAAGUGAGUGA